Molecule: ribosomal RNA, 1544 nt
Filed under: Shigella flexneri
Lineage: Bacteria; Pseudomonadati; Pseudomonadota; Gammaproteobacteria; Enterobacterales; Enterobacteriaceae
Description: bacterial SSU rRNA
Rfam family: Bacterial small subunit ribosomal RNA
Source: RNAcentral
AAAUUGAAGAGUUUGAUCAUGGCUCAGAUUGAACGCUGGCGGCAGGCCUAACACAUGCAAGUCGAACGGUAACAGGAAGCAGCUUGCUGCUUCGCUGACGAGUGGCGGACGGGUGAGUAAUGUCUGGGAAACUGCCUGAUGGAGGGGGAUAACUACUGGAAACGGUAGCUAAUACCGCAUAAUGUCGCAAGACCAAAGAGGGGGACCUUCGGGCCUCUUGCCAUCGGAUGUGCCCAGAUGGGAUUAGCUUGUUGGUGGGGUAACGGCUCACCAAGGCGACGAUCCCUAGCUGGUCUGAGAGGAUGACCAGCCACACUGGAACUGAGACACGGUCCAGACUCCUACGGGAGGCAGCAGUGGGGAAUAUUGCACAAUGGGCGCAAGCCUGAUGCAGCCAUGCCGCGUGUAUGAAGAAGGCCUUCGGGUUGUAAAAGUACUUUCAGCGGGGGAGGAAGGGAGUAAAGUUAAUACCUUUGCUCAUUGACGUUACCCGCAGAAGAAGCACCGGCUAACUCCGUGCCAGCAGCCGCGGUAAUACGGAGGGUGCAAGCGUUAAUCGGAAUUACUGGGCGUAAAGCGCACGCAGGCGGUUUGUUAAGUCAGAUGUGAAAUCCCCGGGCUCAACCUGGGAACUGCAUCUGAUACUGGCAAGCUUGAGUCUCGUAGAGGGGGGUAGAAUUCCAGGUGUAGCGGUGAAAUGCGUAGAGAUCUGGAGGAAUACCGGUGGCGAAGGCGGCCCCCUGGACGAAGACUGACGCUCAGGUGCGAAAGCGUGGGGAGCAAACAGGAUUAGAUACCCUGGUAGUCCACGCCGUAAACGAUGUCGACUUGGAGGUUGUGCCCUUGAGGCGUGGCUUCCGGAGCUAACGCGUUAAGUCGACCGCCUGGGGAGUACGGCCGCAAGGUUAAAACUCAAAUGAAUUGACGGGGGCCCGCACAAGCGGUGGAGCAUGUGGUUUAAUUCGAUGCAACGCGAAGAACCUUACCUGGUCUUGACAUCCACGGAAGUUUUCAGAGAUGAGAAUGUGCCUUCGGGAACCGUGAGACAGGUGCUGCAUGGCUGUCGUCAGCUCGUGUUGUGAAAUGUUGGGUUAAGUCCCGCAACGAGCGCAACCCUUAUCCUUUGUUGCCAGCGGUCCGGCCGGGAACUCAAAGGAGACUGCCAGUGAUAAACUGGAGGAAGGUGGGGAUGACGUCAAGUCAUCAUGGCCCUUACGACCAGGGCUACACACGUGCUACAAUGGCGCAUACAAAGAGAAGCGACCUCGCGAGAGCAAGCGGACCUCAUAAAGUGCGUCGUAGUCCGGAUUGGAGUCUGCAACUCGACUCCAUGAAGUCGGAAUCGCUAGUAAUCGUGGAUCAGAAUGCCACGGUGAAUACGUUCCCGGGCCUUGUACACACCGCCCGUCACACCAUGGGAGUGGGUUGCAAAAGAAGUAGGUAGCUUAACCUUCGGGAGGGCGCUUACCACUUUGUGAUUCAUGACUGGGGUGAAGUCGUAACAAGGUAACCGUAGGGGAACCUGCGGUUGGAUCACCUCCUUA